Oreochromis aureus is the source of this 326-nucleotide long non-coding RNA. The record is from Ensembl. NCBI's taxonomy places the organism in Eukaryota, Metazoa, Chordata, Actinopteri, Cichliformes, Cichlidae.
CCAGAAGAAGAAGAUCAAAACAGACAGCGGUCAGGUUAUCAGUAACAAGAAGAACAGGAAGAACUUUUAUGAGGAGUGGAAGAAAAAAUACAAGAUUGAUGAUAAAGGAUCUGGAUCAGACGGAGAAACAGGCGGAGGAGGCAGGAAGCCAGCAAGAGCCUUGCAAGCUAUAACCUCCAACCUCUUUGUUGUGUCGUGCCUCUCCCACGUCGUGGCCAUGGCCGACGAGGUCCAAACGUACAGAGCUCCGGUGACCACAAAGCACGCUCGGAGCUGAAAACAAAGGAUCAGAAAAAGCAGAAGCACCAGUUCCUGCAGGGCGGGGG